UAAUACGAGUGCCCCAAGCGUUAUCCGGAAUCAUUGGGCGUAAAGGGUGUGUAGGUUGUUUCAUUAGUCUUCUGUCAAAUUCUUCGGCUCAACCGGGGGUCCGCAGAAGAAACGGUGAAACUAGAGGAUGUGAGAGGUGAAUGGAACUCAUGGUGUAGGGGUGAAAUCCGUUGAUAUCAUGGGGAACACCAAAAGCGAAGGCAAUUCACUGGCACAUUCCUGACACUGAAACACGAAAGCGUGGGUAGCGAAUGGGAUUAGAUACCCCAGUAGUCCACGCCCUAAACGAUCUUCUCUAGCUUUUCGGAGUAUCGACCCUCUGAGAGGCGUAGCUAACGCGUUAAGAGAAGCGCCUGGGUAGUACGGCCGCAAGGCUA
RNAcentral lists this ribosomal RNA (377 nucleotides) under uncultured bacterium. RNAcentral describes it as "bacterial SSU rRNA". It matches the Rfam family "Bacterial small subunit ribosomal RNA", at positions 521 to 896 of the family's 1533-position model. The record is from RNAcentral.